Molecule: ribosomal RNA, 443 nt
Filed under: uncultured bacterium
Lineage: Bacteria
Description: partial 16S ribosomal RNA
Rfam family: Bacterial small subunit ribosomal RNA
Source: RNAcentral
CCUACGGGUGGCAGCAGUGGGGAAUAUUGGGCAAUGGGCGCAAGCCUGACCCAGCAACGCCGCGUGAAGGAAGAAGGCUUUCGGGUUGUAAACUUCUUUUCUCAGGGACGAAGCAAGUGACGGUACCUGAGGAAUAAGCCACGGCUAACUACGUGCCAGCAGCCGCGGUAAUACGUAGGUGGCAAGCGUUAUCCGGAUUUACUGGGUGUAAAGGGCGUGUAGGCGGGAAAGCAAGUCAGAUGUGAAAACCAUGGGCUCAACCUGUGGCCUGCAUUUGAAACUGUUUUUCUUGAGUACUGGGGAGGCAGACGGAAUGCCUAGGGUAGCGGUGAAAUGCGUAGAUAUUAGGAGGAACACCAGUGGCGAAGGCGGUCUGCUGGACAGCAACUGACGCUGAGGCGCGAAAGCGUGGGGAGCAAACAGGAUUAGAUACCCCAGUAGUC